Molecule: ribosomal RNA, 274 nt
Filed under: uncultured bacterium
Lineage: Bacteria
Description: partial 16S ribosomal RNA
Rfam family: Bacterial small subunit ribosomal RNA
Source: RNAcentral
AUGCGGGGGGAGCAAGCGUUGUCCGGAAUUACUGGGCGUAAAGGGCGUGUAGGCGGCUUGAUAAGUCAGAUGUGAAAGCCUUCCGCUUAACGGAAGAACUGCAUUUGAAACUGUCGGGCUUGAGUGCGAGAGAGGGUAGUGGAAUUCCCAGUGUAGCGGUGAAAUGCGUAGAUAUUGGGAAGAACACCAGUAGCGAAGGCGGCUACCUGGCUCGUAACUGACGCUAAGGCGCGAAAGCGUGGGGAGCAAACAGGAUUAGAAACCCCGGUAGUCC